RNAcentral lists this long non-coding RNA (795 nucleotides) under Setaria italica (foxtail millet). Its description in RNAcentral is "long non-coding RNA (SITA_LNC000164)". Lineage: Eukaryota; Viridiplantae; Streptophyta; Magnoliopsida; Poales; Poaceae. The record is from RNAcentral.
UUGAUCCAGAGCAGAGUUUCUCUCCUCAACACUCUCAGUUUAUAGAUAGAUCGUGCACCAACCACAAACCCCUGCGAUUGGCAUCCGUAUUUUAGAGGAUCUGCUGAUCAUCAAACAAUUUUGUAGCGUACCUGUAAAUGAGCAACUGUACAGAAAAUUAGUGAAAAGAAAGUUAAAAUUUUUUGUCAAUUUCCUGCUGUCAAAUUCACUGCUUAUGAAUUCCCAUUGUGCUGUUAUGUUGUGAUGUUUGGACGAUUCAGUUAUCUUAAUUUUUUUUCACCAAAGAGUACCCAGAAGAUGCUCAUCAUUAUUGACGUUUUAAAGGAGCAGUUUGUUGUUCAAGUUGAUCUUUGAAAUGUUUUACUAUCAGAUAGGCAUGUGAUACAGAUGCCAUGUGUUGGCCCAGCAACAAGCAAAGGAUCCUCGUGCAGUGGAUCUUGCUGCCCAAAUCGAAAACAAGUCAGCUCCAACACGCGAGGUUGAGCGUGUAAGUAGCAUGAAUUGUGCUUAAUAGGGCAUCUACUCAAAUUAAGAAUUGCAUAGCAGCUCCAUAACACGCUUGUCAUCGUAAUAAUUGGUUAGCAAUCCACUAAAAAAUAAUUUCAGGGCAUGCAAUCAUGUAAGGAUCUACCGGUGAAGUGAACUAACCUGUUGAUUGUUGCUGCCAGUAGCUGGAACAUGACAAUGUGAUAGCUCAUUGGUAGGAUAGAUGAUGCACUAAAAAAUUGAACAACACAUGGUAGAUGAAGGAAACAGAUUCCAUAUGCUGGGCAAUUGAAAUGGCAUAACUCUAUG